Molecule: ribosomal RNA, 1346 nt
Filed under: uncultured bacterium
Lineage: Bacteria
Description: bacterial SSU rRNA
Rfam family: Bacterial small subunit ribosomal RNA
Source: RNAcentral
GACGAACGCUGGCGGCGUGCUUAACACAUGCAAGUCGAACGGAAAGGCCCUGCUUUUGUGGGGUGCUCGAGUGGCGAACGGGUGAGUAACACGUGAGUAACCUGCCCUUGACUUUGGGAUAACUUCAGGAAACUGGGGCUAAUACCGGAUAGGAGCUCCUGCUGCAUGGUGGGGGUUGGAAAGUUUCGGCGGUUGGGGAUGGACUCGCGGCUUAUCAGCUUGUUGGUGGGGUAGUGGCUUACCAAGGCUUUGACGGGUAGCCGGCCUGAGAGGGUGACCGGCCACAUUGGGACUGAGAUACGGCCCAGACUCCUACGGGAGGCAGCAGUGGGGAAUAUUGCACAAUGGGCGGAAGCCUGAUGCAGCAACGCCGCGUGCGGGAUGACGGCCUUCGGGUUGUAAACCGCUUUCGCCUGUGACGAAGCGUGAGUGACGGUAAUGGGUAAAGAAGCACCGGCUAACUACGUGCCAGCAGCCACGGUGAUACGUAGGGUGCGAGCGUUGUCCGGAUUUAUUGGGCGUAAAGGGCUCGUAGGUGGUUGAUCGCGUCGGAAGUGUAAUCUUGGGGCUUAACCCUGAGCGUGCUUUCGAUACGGGUUGACUUGAGGAAGGUAGGGGAGAAUGGAAUUCCUGGUGGAGCGGUGGAAUGCGCAGAUAUCAGGAGGAACACCAGUGGCGAAGGCGGUUCUCUGGGCCUUUCCUGACGCUGAGGAGCGAAAGCGUGGGGAGCGAACAGGCUUAGAUACCCUGGUAGUCCACGCUGUAAACGGUGGGUACUAGGUGUGGGGUCCAUUCCACGGGUUCCGUGCCGUAGCUAACGCUUUAAGUACCCCGCCUGGGGAGUACGGCCGCAAGGCUAAAACUCAAAGGAAUUGACGGGGCCCCGCACAAGCGGCGGAGCAUGCGGAUUAAUUCGAUGCAACGCGUAGAACCUUACCUGGGUUUGACAUGGAUCGGGAGCGCUCAGAGAUGGGUGUGCCUCUUUUGGGGUCGGUUCACAGGUGGUGCAUGGCUGUCGUCAGCUCGUGUCGUGAGAUGUUGGGUUAAGUCCCGCAACGAGCGCAACCCUUGUUCACUGUUGCCAGCACGUUAUGGUGGGGACUCAGUGGAGACCGCCGGGGUCAACUCGGAGGAAGGUGGGGAUGACGUCAAGUCAUCAUGCCCCUUAUGUCCAGGGCUUCACGCAUGCUACAAUGGCUGGUACAGAGAGUGGCGAGCCUGUGAGGGUGAGCGAAUCUCGGAAAGCCGGUCUCAGUUCGGAUUGGGGUCUGCAACUCGACCUCAUGAAGUCGGAGUCGCUAGUAAUCGCAGAUCAGCAACGCUGCGGUGAAUACGUUCCCGGGGCU